AUGGGCUUCACAUUAUUCUGCAAUCUUUUAAAAUACAGCGGUGCUUCAGGUGGAUACAGAUGCAGGUUUGAAUGGUCCCUGCAGAGUGUUAAAUAUAUAUUACCCGUAAUAGCAACCGUAUUAUAUUUGGACAUGUUGCUAAUUCUCCCUGGCUGCUCUGUACCUCGCUCGCAGCGGGAGGACAACCCUGGAGAUCUAACAGGGCUCAGGGUUGCUGGCAGAGCAAUUCCUGUGCUCCACACGCUGAGGAGCCUGCUGACCGCCCCCUGCCCCUGCCCUCCUCAGGCAGCACCCUGGGCUUGUCUCUUUUUGGGUGUACGCAGCCUCCCUCAACCACUGUAUUUAAGUGCCCGUUUAGUGGAAACGUUUUGAAUGCGUUUAGCUUGAUGGGAUAAAAGCUAUUCUUACGCCUCCGGAGAACACGCUGCCAGAGAAAGCAUGGCGAGCAGAGCAGCCUUUCCUGGGGAGCUGGAGGCAAGGCUCUGCUCCUGGCCCUUCAGCCAGCAGACGGGAACGAAGGCUGGUCAGCGAGGAACGACAACAAAAAAACCCCACUCGAGCUUAAAAUGCCGUUUCCAAAAAGUCACCCUGCAGAUCUUUCCACUUGCAAAAAGUCCUGUCCGCAAAGGCGCUGAAGCACUGUGCUUAUGAACGGACAAAACCUGUGCGGGACCGGUUCUCUGUUUCACUAACUCAGCUCUACGUUGGACCUACCGCAAGACGCAACUGCAUACAUGCAGGGGAGAGCGAGGCAAAAAAUGAUGAAGGACCGAAUCUGCAGCAUACCUGCCGGCUUCGGUGAAGCUACAACAGCUUUUAUCAGCGUUUUAUCUGACCCUAACAAAAGGAGCGAAUUGUUUAGCAGAGGAAGAGGGUUCUUUGAUUGUAUCUUGCUGUAGAUGAAUUGCCCAAGCAAGGGCAAAGGGACAGGAAGCGAAGGGGGAGGAGGAGGAGGAGGUGAUGCUGAAGGUAGGCGCUGCUGUUGUUGAGUCCUCUGCUAACUCCCACUCAGCACCACGUUACUAACAUGCCCUGGCCUUUUGCAAAUGCUGAUCGAGGGGCAGAGGGUCGGGCCUGCUCUCUGGCAUAGCAAUCCUACUAAGAAGUUGUGCUUCUCACUCCUGGCAUUAAUAUUUUAGUUUUUAUUCAGGCAAAGCCAAAACCAUUCAGGUUGAAGGGAGUUUUGUAAGAGUAAAGCCUGCAGAAUGAGACCCUCUGUGCUUCGCACAGUGUAAGAAAGAGCUCGAUUUUCCAAAGCACCAAGUACAAGACUUAAAGCCAAGCAUGAAACUCCAGCAAACAAGGACGAAACCCUAGGCAAAACUCAGAUAAAUCCAGCGAACUCCACAACACUGGAACUGCAGGUGCCUCCCUGCAAAUCAAACGUGCGACGCAAACAGCAAAGAGGCAAUCUGAUUUUAUAUGUUGGACCAAACUCAUUCAAAUGUCAGCGUGUCACUCCCGAGCCCAUAUAUAUCUUUCUGAGGGAUGAGGGAUGCUUUACUAUUACUUCAAAACCGCAACGGUGCUGAAUGUUAAUGCAGUUCCUGUUGUGUAGUGCUGAUCAGAUAAUACACUGUACUACUUACAUGAAGAAGUUUUAAGCGGUGCGCUUGUUGUUUUACCCGCCAGUUCUCCUUCCGAAAGCAAUCCUCGUUUUUUGGCUAGCAAUAAAUCUUAGAUCUGAAAGGAAGAAUUGAAUUCC
Long non-coding RNA from Struthio camelus australis, 1705 nucleotides. NCBI's taxonomy places the organism in Eukaryota, Metazoa, Chordata, Aves, Struthioniformes, Struthionidae. The record is from Ensembl.